GGGCUUGUGGUCUAGUGGUAUGAUUCUCCCUUAGCAUGGGAGAGGUCCGGGGUUCAAUUCCCCGCGAGUCCA
Non-coding RNA from Xylariomycetidae sp. FL2044, 72 nucleotides. The record is from the annotation of a GenBank genome assembly. Lineage: Eukaryota; Fungi; Ascomycota; Sordariomycetes.